Molecule: ribosomal RNA, 253 nt
Filed under: uncultured bacterium
Lineage: Bacteria
Description: partial 16S ribosomal RNA
Rfam family: Bacterial small subunit ribosomal RNA
Source: RNAcentral
UACGAAGGGGGCUAGCGUUGCUCGGAAUCACUGGGCGUAAAGCGCACGUAGGCGGCUCUUUAAGUCAGGGGUGAAAUCCUGGAGCUCAACUCCAGAACUGCCCUUGAUACUGAGGAGCUUGAGUCCGGGAGAGGUGAGUGGAACUGCGAGUGUAGAGGUGAAAUUCGUAGAUAUUCGCAAGAACACCGGUGGCGAAGGCGGCCCACUGGAUCGGUACUGACGCUGAGGUGCGAAAGCGUGGGGAGCAAACAGG